RNAcentral lists this long non-coding RNA (827 nucleotides) under Bos indicus x Bos taurus (hybrid cattle). Its description in RNAcentral is "lncRNA (ENSBIXG00000028492.1)". The record is from RNAcentral. Lineage: Eukaryota; Metazoa; Chordata; Mammalia; Artiodactyla; Bovidae.
CGGGCUGAGUCGGGGCCGGUGGACGAGGCCUGGCCCGCAGAGGCCGCUGUGUCUCUGCACACAACGGCUGUCCAGGCCGGAGCAGCCAUAGUGUAGCCUGGAGCCCCCCCACCGCUCCCAGGGAGGGGAGGGGCCGCCUGAGAUCCCUCAGGAAAGACUGGAUUCCAGGAGGCCUGACCCUCCGAGGGGAACUCGUGUGCUGCCCGCCUGCUUCCUGCCGGGGACCGUCGGCCACUGAGCCUUCCAGGACCGGAGCUGCAGGGGUGACGCAGCCACCCACAGUCCCUCCACCUCAUCUUCCGCCGUCCCAUCGCCUGCCAGCUCGUCAUUCAGCGUGGAUUUCCUGAGCCACCCCCAGGCACCAGCACCAUGGCUCAGGCGAUGUGCAGACAACAAAGAAAGAAUCACGCACUCACUCCCUGUCAAGUCCUCCCGGGCGCCUGGACUCAGCCGUGGAAUACGGAGACUUGCACGGAGUAAAGCUCACAGUCCGGAGCCUGAAUCCGCCGGCGGCGCAACAGGGGCCAGUUCAGAGCAGGCUGGUCUCGUCUCCUCCGGCCACCGCCCUCCCUCCCGGUCACUUGCAGGCAAUCCCCUGACUCCGCGUCGUCUGCCCCGGAGCCUCAGUACACAGGGCAUGUGGGGCCUCGGUGACCCUGAGGUCCAGUGCGUGCCCAGGAGGAAGGGCAAGCACUCAACUCUGUCCCUUUCUGAUUUAUUUUAUUCCUUUUCAGAAUAAUGAGCCCUAGCCUCCGACCAAGGCCCAGUGAGAAUUCUGUAGUAUUCUUUUAAAUAAAAUGGAUUUUAAAGAUAUUUGGUAUAUUUUA